Molecule: transfer RNA, 74 nt
Filed under: Chrysemys picta bellii (western painted turtle)
Lineage: Eukaryota; Metazoa; Chordata; Testudines; Emydidae
Description: tRNA-Asn (ATT) (tRNA-Asn-ATT-1-1)
Rfam family: tRNA
About the family: Transfer RNA (tRNA) molecules are approximately 80 nucleotides in length. Their secondary structure includes four short double-helical elements and three loops (D, anti-codon, and T loops). Further hydrogen bonds mediate the characteristic L-shaped molecular structure. tRNAs have two regions of fundamental functional importance: the anti-codon, which is responsible for specific mRNA codon recognition, and the 3' end, to which the tRNAs corresponding amino acid is attached (by aminoacyl-tRNA synthetases). tRNAs cope with the degeneracy of the genetic code in two manners: having more than one tRNA (with a specific anti-codon) for a particular amino acid; and 'wobble' base-pairing, i.e. permitting non-standard base-pairing at the 3rd anti-codon position.
Source: Rfam by way of RNAcentral
GUCUCUGUGGUGUAAUGGGUCAGUGCAUUUGGCUAUUAACCAAAAGGUUGGUGGUUCAAGCCCACCCAGUGAUG